Molecule: transfer RNA, 75 nt
Filed under: Brucella abortus 78/32
Lineage: Bacteria; Pseudomonadati; Pseudomonadota; Alphaproteobacteria; Hyphomicrobiales; Brucellaceae
Description: tRNA-Val
Rfam family: tRNA
About the family: Transfer RNA (tRNA) molecules are approximately 80 nucleotides in length. Their secondary structure includes four short double-helical elements and three loops (D, anti-codon, and T loops).
Source: RNAcentral
GGGCGCGUAGCUCAGCGGGAGAGCACUCCCUUCACACGGGAGGAGUCACAGGUUCAAUCCCUGUCGCGCCCACCA